GUGGGGAAUCUUGCGCAAUGGGCGAAAGCCUGACGCAGCCAUGCCGCGUGAAUGAUGAAGGUCUUAGGAUUGUAAAAUUCUUUCACCGGGGACGAUAAUGACGGUACCCGGAGAAGAAGCUCCGGCUAACUUCGUGCCAGCAGCCGCGGUAAUACGAAGGGGGCUAGCGUUGCUCGGAAUUACUGGGCGUAAAGGGCGCGUAGGCGGACAACUUAGUCAGAGGUGAAAGCCCAGGGCUCAACCUUGGAAUUGCCUUUGAUACUGGCUGUCUUGAGUUUGGGAGAGGUGAGUGGAACUCCGAGUGUAGAGGUGAAAUUCGUAGAUAUUCGGAAGAACACCAGUGGCGAAGGCGACUCACUGGCCCAAUACUGACGCUGAGGCGCGAAAGCGUGGGGAGCAAACAGGAUUAGAUACCCCGGUAGUCC
This 425-nucleotide ribosomal RNA is filed under the name uncultured bacterium. Its description in RNAcentral is "partial 16S ribosomal RNA". It matches the Rfam family "Bacterial small subunit ribosomal RNA", at positions 354 to 796 of the family's 1533-position model. The record is from RNAcentral.